Non-coding RNA from Phrynosoma platyrhinos (Desert horned lizard), 73 nucleotides. The record is from the annotation of a GenBank genome assembly. NCBI's taxonomy places the organism in Eukaryota, Metazoa, Chordata, Lepidosauria, Squamata, Phrynosomatidae.
GGCUAGUGUGGCAUAGUGGUUUCAGCACUGGAUUAUUACUCUGGAGACCAGGGUUCAAAUCCCAGCUCGGCCA